AUGGUCAAGAACCACCCGGGCAGCGGCACUAGCAGGUGCGACGCUGCAGCGGCUAUGGCAGAGAGCGGUGGUGGGGGUGGGACGGCAACGCUGUGCGGCGGCGGGAGUAGGCAGCCGGCGAUGGCGGUGAGGCAGUUCAAGGGGGUGCGGAUGCGGAGCUGGGGGUCGUGGGUGUCGGAGAUCAGGGCGCCGCAUCAGAAGCGCCGGAUCUGGCUCGGCUCCUACGCCACCCCGGAGGCCGCCGCGCGCGCCUACGACGCCGCGCUCCUCUGCCUCAAGGGCUCCGACGCCGUCCUCAACUUCCCCUCCUCGUCCUCCGCCUCACCCUCGUCGCCGCAUUCGCUUCCCUCCCCCGCCGACGACUUGUCCCCGAGGUCCAUCCAGCGCGCGGCCGUAGCUGCGGCAGCGGCCUUUGAAGCCACGAGGAUCGUCGCCGGCGUCGUGGACGACAGCUGCUCUUCCAGCGCCGAGGCGACGACGCCGACCUCGGUCUCAGUGUCCACGCUGGGAAGCGCCGACGUCCAGGAGCACACCACGUCUUCGAUGUCCGCCGCGGCCAGCGCUGGCUCGCCGGCGGGAGAUCACGACGAGCUGUGGACGGAGCUGGACGCAUUCGCGUCCCCCAAGCUCAUGGACCUCAUCGCCGCCGGUCACGCCACGCCCUUCUCUUCCACCUGGGAGGAGCCCGAGGAGGACGGCGAGAUGAUGAGGCUGUGGAGCUUCUGCUAG
This 729-nucleotide ribosomal RNA is filed under the name Triticum aestivum (bread wheat). RNAcentral's name for it is "partial small subunit ribosomal RNA". Lineage: Eukaryota; Viridiplantae; Streptophyta; Magnoliopsida; Poales; Poaceae. The record is from RNAcentral.